AGUGAACGCUGGCGGUAGGUUUAACACAUGCAAGUCGAACGGCAGCACAGUAAGAGCUUGCUCUUACGGGUGGCGAGUGGCGGACGGGUGAGGAAUACAUCGGAAUCUACUUUUUCGUGGGGGAUAACGUAGGGAAACUUACGCUAAUACCGCAUACGACCUACGGGUGAAAGCAGGGGAUCUUCGGACCUUGCGCGAGUGAAUGAGCCGAUGUCGGAUUAGCUAGUUGGCGGGGUAAAGGCCCACCAAGGCGACGAUCCGUAGCUGGUCUGAGAGGAUGAUCAGCCACACUGGAACUGAGACACGGUCCAGACUCCUACGGGAGGCAGCAGUGGGGAAUAUUGGACAAUGGGCGCAAGCCUGAUCCAGCCAUACCGCGUGGGUGAAGAAGGCCUUCGGGUUGUAAAGCCCUUUUGUUGGGAAAGAAAAGCAGCAGGUUAAUACCCCGCUGUUCUGACGGUACCCAAAGAAUAAGCACCGGCUAACUUCGUG
RNAcentral lists this ribosomal RNA (492 nucleotides) under uncultured bacterium. RNAcentral describes it as "partial 16S ribosomal RNA". It matches the Rfam family "Bacterial small subunit ribosomal RNA", at positions 29 to 507 of the family's 1533-position model. The record is from RNAcentral.